Molecule: long non-coding RNA, 263 nt
Organism: Cucurbita maxima (winter squash)
Lineage: Eukaryota; Viridiplantae; Streptophyta; Magnoliopsida; Cucurbitales; Cucurbitaceae
Exons: 3
Source: RefSeq, a predicted model, not a curated record
CUCCGCACGCGUGCUCUCGGCUCGGCUUGACGUGUACGGCGGCUCAGCUCCGUCAAGACCCGAGGCUCGGCUUCGUCAAAUCCCGCAGCUCGGCUUGGUGACUCAGUAUCACUAUAAUAUAUUGAUUCCAAGGUUUUUGACCCUUCCAAAGUCGUUUCUGCCCUUAGUUUUACCAUCCGAGGACAUAUUUAACCGCUGGGAUUAUCUCGUUGUGAGUGACUUCAACCAAAACCAUCGAGGUAAAGGCAAGACGCCAAUGUACG